This 432-nucleotide ribosomal RNA is filed under the name uncultured Glomus. Its description in RNAcentral is "SSU rRNA". It matches the Rfam family "Eukaryotic small subunit ribosomal RNA", at positions 569 to 1006 of the family's 1831-position model. The record is from RNAcentral. Lineage: Eukaryota; Fungi; Glomeromycota; Glomeromycetes; Glomerales; Glomeraceae.
AGCAGCCGCGGUAAUUCCAGCUCCAAUAGCGUAUAUUAAAGUUGCUGCAGUUAAAAAGCUCGUAGUUGAAUUUCGGGACCAUCAUGUCGGUCGUGCCUCGGUACGUACUGGCAUUGUUGGUUUCUCCCUUCUGAAGAACCAUGAUGUCAUUAAUUUGGUGUCUUGGGGAAUCAGGACUGUUACUUUGAAAAAUUAGAGUGUUUAAAGCAGGCUCGCGCUUGAAUACAUUAGCAUGGAAUAAUGAAAUGGGACGUUUGAUUCUAUUUUGUUGGUUUCUAGGAUCGACGUAAUGAUUAAUAGGGAUAGUUGGGGGCAUUAGUAUUCAAUUGUCAGAGGUGAAAUUCUUGGAUUUAUUGAAGACUAACUACUGCGAAAGCAAUUUGCCAAGGAUGUUUUCAUUAAUCAAGAACGAAAGUUAGGGGAUCGAAGACG